RNAcentral lists this ribosomal RNA (365 nucleotides) under Gavia immer (great northern loon). RNAcentral describes it as "12S ribosomal RNA". It matches the Rfam family "Bacterial small subunit ribosomal RNA", at positions 800 to 1361 of the family's 1533-position model. Lineage: Eukaryota; Metazoa; Chordata; Aves; Gaviiformes; Gaviidae. The record is from RNAcentral.
CCCUAAAUCUUGAUGCUUACCCCACUGAAGCAUCCGCCUGAGAACUACGAGCACAAACGCUUAAAACUCUAAGGACUUGGCGGUGCCCCAAACCCACCUAGAGGAGCCUGUUCUGUAAUCGAUAACCCACGAUAUACCCAACCGUCCCUUGCCACAGCAGCCUACAUACCGCCGUCGCCAGCUCACCUCUACCUGAGAGUGCAACAGUGAGCACAAUAGCCCUACGCCGCUAACAAGACAGGUCAAGGUAUAGCUCAUGGGGCGGAAGAAAUGGGCUACAUUUUCUAAGAUAGAAAACACGAAAAGGGGUAUGAAACUACCCCUGGAAGGCGGAUUUAGCAGUAAAGCGGGACAAUAAAGCCCCC